RNAcentral lists this non-coding RNA (27 nucleotides) under Homo sapiens (human). The record is from RNAcentral. Lineage: Eukaryota; Metazoa; Chordata; Mammalia; Primates; Hominidae.
UACCGUACUGUACAACUUUUGGAGUGA